RNAcentral lists this long non-coding RNA (731 nucleotides) under Zostera marina. RNAcentral describes it as "long non-coding RNA (ZMAR_LNC000096)". The record is from RNAcentral. Lineage: Eukaryota; Viridiplantae; Streptophyta; Magnoliopsida; Alismatales; Zosteraceae.
UCCACUACAUUCAGAUUACUGUUUGUCAAGCCUGUGGGGCUCUGGAAAAUCCUCAACUCUUGAUUUUCUGUUCAACUUGUAACAAUAAUGCUGAACACCUGUAUGUAUGGAUAUAUAUUCUUUCUAUCUUGCAGAUGUGGUGGUGUUUCAAAUUCUUUUUCAUUUCUUCUUUUCUGCAGGUAUUGCUUGACAGAAUAUGAGGAAUGUCUUGGGGAUUUUAUUUGGUCUUGUGAGGAAUGUACACAGCAUAUAAUCCCCACAACCAGUCUAUGCCAAGAGGAGGGUAAGUGAGAACCAAAUGUUUGUAGUUUUCUUACAUUAAUUCCAAUGAAAUUUUAAAAAAUAUUUAUAAAUCAAAACACUUUUGUCUUCUAUUCUAUCCAAAUUUCCAAUGUUUGGGAUUUUGCAUUUUUUACUCACCAUAAAUUAUUUAAAUACACUCCGUUUCUGUAACGGUGUCUACGUGCCGGCAUCUUCGUUCGUUAUGCAUCGCAUGGUUCGAUUUUGGGACGGCACGACGGGUCAUGUCUCGGCACAAAUUCAUUUGCCUACGCCGGUGUCUACAGGUAGAGGUAUGGGUUGCAAUGUACGUCGUCCGGUGGAUAAUUUCACCGUCGUUCAUUGUCCGGACUGUGAACGACACAGCGGGUCCAAUCGGACACCCCAGGUCCCCUCGACGGAGUCCUUAUUUGAACUGGUUCGUAUUUUGGGUAAUUUACUAAAUACCCCUU